Long non-coding RNA from Meriones unguiculatus (Mongolian gerbil), 715 nucleotides. RefSeq lists it as uncharacterized. Lineage: Eukaryota; Metazoa; Chordata; Mammalia; Rodentia; Muridae. The transcript is spliced from 3 exons. The record is from RefSeq and is a predicted model, not a curated record.
GACUGAAGAGCGAAGAGUGGGCACCUGGCAGAGAGACGCAGAGGCUCCGAGGCAGAAGUGUGGAACACACUCCAGGCCCCGGCCUGUUGGGGCUUGGAGGUUGGCAGUCCAACGCCAAGAGGGCUGCACCUGUGUAGGUCUGCACCUGUGUCAUCCCAAGGUGGACGGAAGGACAAAGUGUGCACAUAUGUGCGCAUCGGGCGGAGGAAGGGACUGACUCAUCUCGCCCCUGGGAGCCUGUCCCACAGCAGCUCACCUCCUCCAGCGGCCGUUGAUGGAAUCAACACACUCACCAGGGCGGAGUCUGGUGACCUGAUCUCCCGGAACAGGUCCACAGCUUCACGCUCUCACGCCGCGGUCAGAGCAGGCCGUCACACCAAUUUGCCAGACAUCUUGAAGCUUCCAGCUUCCAUGUUCCCUCAUUUGUUUAAAAAAUGCACCAUGAAACUAGCUCUUUUCAUUUGCAUUAAAAAAAAAAUCAAAUCUUUGUUUCACGAAGGAUAAAGUUUGAUUAAAAGAAAAAGCCAUGCUACUUGUUUUCCCCAAGCGGUUGACAGAUCGUUCCUACAGAUGGCCUCAGAUGACACAGAUUUUUCUCCGCUGCUUUGAAAUGUCACCUUUAAAAUAACAAAUUUCAUUGGAUCUUCACAGAUUUUCUUUUAGGAAAUAAAAAAUAGCAGCACUGACACUCAUGUCCGUGCUGUGUGCCAGCCAC